GAGUUUGAUCCUGGCUCAGAACGAACGCUGGCGGCAGGCCUAAUACAUGCAAGUCGAGCGCGCCCUUCGGGGUGAGCGGCGGACGGGUGAGUAACGCGUGGGAAUAUGCCCUUCUCUAAGGAAUAGCCUCUGGAAACGGAGAGUAAUACCUUAUACGCCCUUUGGGGGAAAGAUUUAUCGGGGAAGGAUUAGCCCGCGUUAGAUUAGGUAGUUGGUGGGGUAAUGGCCUACCAAGCCUACGAUCUAUAGCUGGUUUGAGAGGAUGAUCAGCCACACUGGGACUGAGACACGGCCCAGACUCCUACGGGAGGCAGCAGUGGGGAAUCUUGCACAAUGGAGGAAACUCUGAUGCAGCGAUGCCGCGUGAGUGAAGAAGGCCUUUGGGUUGUAAAGCUCUUUCGUCGGGGAAGAAAAUGACUGUACCCGAAUAAGAAGGUCCGGCUAACUUCGUGCCAGCAGCCGCGGUAAUACGAAGGGACCUAGCGUAGUUCGGAAUUACUGGGCUUAAAGAGUUCGUAGGUGGUUGAAAAAGUUGGUGGUGAAAUCCCAGAGCUUAACUCUGGAACUGCCAUCAAAACUUUUCAGCUAGAGUAUGAUAGAGGAAAGCAGAAUUUCUAGUGUAGAGGUGAAAUUCGUAGAUAUUAGAAAGAAUACCAAUUGCGAAGGCAGCUUUCUGGAUCAUUACUGACACUGAGGAACGAAAGCAUGGGUAGCGAAGAGGAUUAGAUACCCUCGUAGUCCAUGCCGUAAACGAUGUGUGUUAGACGUUGGAAAUUUAUUUUCAGUGUCGCAGGGAAACCGAUAAACACACCGCCUGGGGAGUACGACCGCAAGGUAAAACUCAAAUGAAUUGACGGGGACCCGCACAAGUAGUGGAGCAUGUGGUUUAAUUCGAAGAUACGCGCAGAACCUUACCAACACUUGACAUGUUCGUCGCGACUCUAAGAGAUUAGAGUUUUCGGUUCGGCCGGACGAAACACAGGUGCUGCAUGGCUGUCGUCAGCUCGUGUCGUGAGAUGUUGGGUUAAGUCCCGCAACGAGCGCAACCCUCACUUUUAGUUGCCAUCAUUAAGUUGGGCACUCUGAAAGAACUGCCAGUGAUAAGCUGGAGGAAGGUGGGGAUGACGUCAAGUCCUCAUGGCCCUUACGUGUUGGGCUACACACGUGCUACAAUGGCAUCUACAACAGGAAGCAAAACGGCAACGUUAAGCAAAUCCCGAAAAGAUGCCUCAGUUCGGAUUGCACUCUGCAACUCGAGUGCAUGAAGCUGGAAUUACUAGUAAUCGUGGAUCAGCGUGCCACGGUGAAUGCGUUCCCGGGUCUUGUACACACCGCCCGCCACACCAUGGGAGUUGGUUCUACCUUAAGGCAAGGUUUUAAACCCUUGACCACGGUAUAGUCAGCGACUGGGGUGAAGUCGUAACAAGGUAACC
This 1433-nucleotide ribosomal RNA is filed under the name uncultured marine bacterium. Its description in RNAcentral is "16S ribosomal RNA". It matches the Rfam family "Bacterial small subunit ribosomal RNA". The record is from RNAcentral.